This is a long non-coding RNA of Acanthopagrus latus (yellowfin seabream), 843 nucleotides long. RefSeq lists it as uncharacterized. The transcript has 2 exons. Lineage: Eukaryota; Metazoa; Chordata; Actinopteri; Spariformes; Sparidae. The record is from RefSeq and is a predicted model, not a curated record.
GGGGAUCGGCUCGGCGCAGAGCGGAGUGAGGAGGAGGAGCGACCGCGGCCAUUUUGUGACUACAGGACUGAAGGCAGAGUGAAGAAGAAGAAGAAGAAGAAGAAGAAGAGAUGAGUUCCCAGAAGAAGCUCGUGUGUCAGAAUCAGUGUUGUAACUUCCUGUGCCGUGGCGGCCAUGUUGGAUCUGACAGUUUCACAGAAAUGUCUUGGAGGAUAAAAUGAAGUGAUGACGCUUCGUGUCCAGAGGUCAAAGGUCACAGCGGCCACACGUCCAGGAAGCUUCUGUGUUCUACAUCUCGUCUGUCGUCGGGUUCUUAUGAAUGGUCACCGGUACACUGGAUCAGAACCUGCAGGGUGGACAGUAAAGUUAGAGUAAACUUAGAGAGUAAAGAGUCUGUUUGUGUAAAAAUAAAACAGUUUGUUUGUGAGGUUGAAGAAGUCGUUUCAGUCAAGCUCAGCUGUGACUGGGGGGUCCGUCAGAGACAGAACCAGAUAUGGUGUACUGUUGGGUUCACAGCUUACUGACCGACCAGAACCGCUGCCCCUCUCUGUUGUUGUUGUCAGUUUGAUAUGUUCACAUUUCACCAGAUAUCCAACAGCACUUUCUCUCUGAAGUAACAAAGAACUCUCAGUUAUACCAGGUGAAUCUUUCACUUGUAGACAGGAAACAUCGUGACUCGUAUCUCUGGAACAACUACAGAAGUUCUGGUACCGUUUCUUUCUCUUCAUUAGCUGGACUGGGUAACAGCCGACACCAAGAACCCGUCUGAUACUGGUGUGUUUUUACUGUUAACAACUUCUUUCACUUCACGUUUAGGAAUAAAUCAUUCCCUCAAAACUUAAA